This 2189-nucleotide long non-coding RNA is filed under the name Malus domestica (apple). RNAcentral's name for it is "long non-coding RNA (MDOM_LNC011026)". Lineage: Eukaryota; Viridiplantae; Streptophyta; Magnoliopsida; Rosales; Rosaceae. The record is from RNAcentral.
UCUCAAUAACAUAAACUUUUCAACAAUAAUUUUAAUCCAAUUUAGAACUCAGAGAAAAUUAAGACAAAAGAUUGGUAAAUUUACCUACUCAUUCUCGAUUCUGCAAGUUUCAUCAUGGAAGUAGUCGAGUUGUGGAGGAUCAAACCAAACGCAAAUUGCAUGAUUGUUACACCUUUGGGUAGAAACUAAUCAUGCAAAGAAAAUACCUGCAUAGCUAGCCAAAACAUAAAAUACACAAAAUACAUAUAGCUUCAACAGCUUUGGCCAGAUGAAAAUAUGUUAGAAGUAUUUUAUGUUGCUAUAAUAAUUUAUAGUUGGUAAAUGAUUUCCUGAAAUUCCCUUUGGGACAAAAGUAUUCACCAUAUAAAUUAGAAUGAGGACUGCUAAACCCACCCCGUUGUCUUAUUUCACCACCCACAUUAUAUUUACACCCACUAUAAAAAGUUAAAAAAUUAAAAUGUUAUUUUCCCACCCACUAUUAUUCCUAAAAUAACCCUAUAUAUAAUUAGAGAUAAAUUUCUUUUAAAAAAAAAAGAAAAUAAACAAACCUUCUAAAAAUAGGAAAAAAAGAAAAGAAAAAAAACCAUGUUUCCUUUCCAAAUUCCAAUUUAAGUGUCCUUUUCGAGAUGCAUACCAAUUUGAGUGUCCUUUCCAAAUUUUCCCUAACCUAAUUAAAACAAUUCCAACGAAUUCUUGGAAUUCUCAUAGGAAAACAUGAAACAAAUUGUACCCUAACCUAAUGCAAAUUCAAAUAAAAAGUCACAAAGCUAUGCUUCAAUUAUUCAUGUCGACAAAUCAAGAUGGUCCACAUAAAAUUAUCUUUUACCUGUUCGACGGAAACAUAGUCAUCUACUUGUUCCAUAGAAAUGUCAUCUUCUAAGUUUAUUCUUUUUGCUUUCUCUGAAUGAAAGGGGAUGAAAAGGAUGAGUUAGGGUUUAUGGGAGACAAAUUUUCUAAACUUUUCUUUUCUUUUCUUUUUUUAUAAAAAAAAAAUUAAUGCAAAAAGGAGUAAGUAAGGUCCCUAUUAGUCAUUUUACAAAUGGAUAAAUUUGUAACUAAAAAAUUCAUAAAAAGGUGGGUGGGGAAAUAAGACAUCGGGGUGGGAAUAUCACCACUCAUUAGAAUUUUGAUUUGUCAAAAUAAUCCUUUAGAACAGUAUUAAAUAACCGUUUUGUUGGAUAUUCAAUGAUUCUCAAAAGAUUAAAUUAGACACAAAAGUAUGUCGUUAUUGAACAAUAGAGUUCUCGAAAGAGGAAACAUGGUUAUUCAGCUAUUCGAUAGGGACCAAAAUGAUCAAUUAGUAAACUGAUACCACUUUCCAAUUUUUGUCUCAAAAGACAAUAAUCAUCAUAAUCAAAAUUGAUGACCAAACAAAAUAAACCAAUUCACUUUUCAACCAAAAUUUAAUCAGUGUUUACUAAUAAAAGUCAUUAGAAUUGAGAAUUUGCAUUGAAAACCAGGACAUAUUAGAGCAAAUAAACAUGUCAAACAAUUGGUACUAUUGGAUAUGCACAAAUUAGUGAAAACAAUAUUGCAUAACAUAACUAGUUUUUGAAGUACCAAAAAUUCAACAAUGCCACUUUAGUUUGCAAAUUCACUAAAAAACUCAAUUCUCUUUAGAUUGUCAUGAAAAGUUUUAGGUAUGAACUAGACAUGUAUGACUACUGUUUUGGAAAAUUUCAUGAUUUUUUUUUUUUUAAAUAUUAUAAGCGAGCCAAAAAUGAAUUCGAAAAGAGAGGUGCUGCAGAAACUACAGAAAAUCUGCAGUACAUACCUAAGAUUAAAAUUCACCAAAUAUUCAUUGUUCAUCCGAUAUGCAUGAAAAUUUUCAGAAAAUAAGUAAACAUACAAAUCUGUUAAUUCCUAAUAUUUCAUAAUUUUUUUUUUUUACACUUUACAAGUGUACUAAAAGAAAAUACGAAAUGGGAUGUGCUGCAGAGAUGGCAAAAAUUCUGCAGUACAUACCGGAGACUAAAUAAUUCACCAAAAAAUUCAAUUUUUCUCCAAUGUGCAUGAAAGUUUCCAGAAAUGAAGUAGACAUAUAAAUUUACUGUCUCCCAAAAUUCCAUAAUUUGUUCGAUUCUACAAGUGGGCUAAAAAUAAAAUCGAAUGGAAUGUGCUGCAGAAGAUGCAUAAAUUCUGCAGUACAUUCCUGAGAUUAAAACUUCACCAAUAAAUCAUUUUCAGAC